AUGCCCGCCUCCACCUCGCUCCUCCACCUCUACGACUGCUGGUCCGCCUACAAGUACGUCAACUUCUCCCGGACCAUCUACGACGCCAUGGCGUACCUCAACGACACCAUCACCGUCAACAACAACUACAUCUCCAUGCUCGCCGCGCUGAAGCGGUACGGCGACGACACGUCCGUCUGGGCACCGCCGCAGACGGAGCGCGACGGGUACUGGCCUUCGCUCGCGGCCUCGGGGGGCGACGUCGACGCGCACGGCGUGCCCAAGGGGCUCCCCGCGGACGCGACGGUGUGCGGCGUCGGGUGCGACUACAAGACAGUGCGGGAGACGGUGUGCGGCGCCGGGCCUCGCCUUCCAUGCGCGUCCGCGCCUUCGCCGGUUUGCGAGUCACCGGCAAGCUGCCCCGGCCUCAAGUUGCCUCCGCUAUCGGGCUUCACCAGCAAGCAACAACGCCCGCUGGUCGUCUUCUCCAUGGUCAUCCCACGAGUCACGCCCGCGUCCACGCUCGCCGGGUUCCUCACCGGGCACACGGGGCACGAGGACGGAGCGGCAGCGGUCGAGCUCGGUGGGCUCGUGCGCAGUGCGUUCGUCAGUCGGAUGGGGGGCGGCUGGAUUUUUUUUUGUCCCAGAUGCAAAAAAUCUGCCGGUGCCUCCUCAGAGGCCAAAAAACGCCUCCACAACGGCUGGAGAUGCUCUAAGCUAUUAGGGUCCAAAAAACAACAGCGACCUCAGCACACCGCACAAGCUGUCAAACUUUUGGGCCGUCAGCGUACCACGCAGCCUAGCACACACACGAUCCUCCACCAGGGCGUUCAGAAGCCACGUGAUCUCUGCUGUUCAGCUGGUCCAUGUAUCAUGCUCCGGGUGUUGGAGUACUCUGGAGCUAGACUGCCCUCCGUCUUGCCAGGACAUAUGGACCGCAUUCUCUCCGCAGCUGCUGGUGGAGAUAACAGCGAAAACAAUGGAGAAAUCUAUGAAAAAAAUGCGCCAGCAGCUCAAUAUCACAUUUGUCUGCAUCCAGGAGGCAAAUCCUCCUCGGGAUCGGCUCCGUUGCAGCAGUUCAGUCGAUCCCCCACGGGAUCCACGCCGGCAGACGCGCCAGCAACAGCGCCAGCCGACCGCGCGGCUGUUCCCAGCCCAGCGCGCGCCAUGCGUCACGCCUCAACUGGUGGCGGCCCGAGCUCCUCCCCGCGCCAACCCUCGUCCGGCACGCGGCAGCUCGCGGCUCGUCAGGACGGCGCGCGAUUCCGUGACCAGCCGGUCACGUACAAGCGGCGCGACCCGAUUCGCCAGUCUGACACGGGGCACGGGCCUGCUGCGGGAUCUGGCGCGGACUCCUGCGCACCCGCGCGCGCGUCCACACGCCUGACUGGCAUGCUGCACCUGAUCAAACUGCCACAGAAGAUCCGGCGGGAGAAGAUUCUCCUACAGGAGCUUCUGCUCCGGGAUUCUCUGUGGCUGGAGAUCUCGCUGUUGCACUGUCACGACGUACACGACCACAACAUGGGGUAA
RNAcentral lists this ribosomal RNA (1509 nucleotides) under Triticum aestivum (bread wheat). Its description in RNAcentral is "partial small subunit ribosomal RNA". Lineage: Eukaryota; Viridiplantae; Streptophyta; Magnoliopsida; Poales; Poaceae. The record is from RNAcentral.